This 300-nucleotide ribosomal RNA is filed under the name uncultured bacterium. RNAcentral describes it as "bacterial SSU rRNA". It matches the Rfam family "Bacterial small subunit ribosomal RNA", at positions 338 to 630 of the family's 1533-position model. The record is from RNAcentral.
CCUACGGGAGGCAGCAGUAGGGAAUCUUCCACAAUGGACGAAAGUCUGAUGGAGCAACGCCGCGUGAGUGAAGAAGGGUUUCGGCUCGUAAAGCUCUGUUGGUAGUGAAGAAAGAUAGAGGUAGUAACUGGCCUUUAUUUGACGGUAAUUACUUAGAAAGUCACGGCUAACUACGUGCCAGCAGCCGCGGUAAUACGUAGGUGGCAAGCGUUGUCCGGAUUUAUUGGGCGUAAAGCGAGUGCAGGCGGGUCAAUAAUACUCAUGUGAGAGACUUCGGCUCAAACGGGGAAUUGCAUAAGA